This 898-nucleotide unclassified non-coding RNA is filed under the name Hevea brasiliensis (rubber tree). The record is from RNAcentral. Lineage: Eukaryota; Viridiplantae; Streptophyta; Magnoliopsida; Malpighiales; Euphorbiaceae.
GCAUGUCUCUUGCCGAUAAACUCUAUAAAUAGUGAUUCUUCCAAAUCUCCAUUUGCCAUUUCUUGUUUUUCUUCUAGCCCACAAAGCCAUUCUUAUCCAAGAUGAGGAGGGAAGGUCGCCAGCAUGGAAUGGUUAGGACCUACAGGAUCUUGCCUUCUCCAUGGAACCCCAAGCCCCACUCCAGAUUCUUCAACAGGUUUGACUCUCCCCCUACUGCCGGAUUAUUCGCCAAGGUCCACCCUCGACCCACCAACCAUUCCAAGUUCACCGGAAAGUGCACCAGGCCUCGCUGUAAUGGCUGUCACUUGCACCCUUCUUGCAAGUCCAAGGACAAGACUAAAGGUACCGAGAAGCUUAAGUCCCUUGAUGUUGCUUCUAAUUAUAGGUUGAUCAAUUGGCGGAUGGUGGAUGGUCGUCCUGGCUUGAACUUUUCUGGGGUUUCUGCUACUGGGAUUUUGAAUCAUCUGGCGAAUGAAGAUGAUUAUUUGGAUGAUGACAUUGAUGGCGAUUAUGAUAGUUAUUGGGAGAAUGCGACUUCGAGCUCAAGAGAGAUGGAUGAAGGGGUUCAGAUUGAAGAAAUUGCUGAUGCUAAUGUUAAUGAUGAUAAGGACAAUAGAGAAAAUGAUGAUGGUGAUGAUGAUGGGUUGAGUUUUUGUGAUGUGGGUUUCUUAGUGGAUCAAAUUGAGGGAGAUGAUGGUUGGUGUUUGGUUGAAGAAAUGUGAUUUUGCUCUUGUUUAAAUUGUGUUAAUAUAUUUAUGUAAUAUUUGGAGGAUGAUUUUUUAAAUGCUUCCUCACAUAUCACAAGAAUGUUUAUUAAAUUAAAAAUAAAUAAUGUAUUUUGUGUGUUUGAUUCAGUUGGGUACUUGGUUAAUAGAAGCUUAGAAAUAACUUUGUUCAA